Molecule: ribosomal RNA, 404 nt
Filed under: uncultured Methylophaga sp.
Lineage: Bacteria; Pseudomonadati; Pseudomonadota; Gammaproteobacteria; Thiotrichales; Piscirickettsiaceae
Description: bacterial SSU rRNA
Rfam family: Bacterial small subunit ribosomal RNA
Source: RNAcentral
AUUGAACGCUGGCGGCAUGCCUAACACAUGCAAGUCGAACGGUAACAGGAGAGAGCUUGCUCUCUUGCUGACGAGUGGCGGACGGGUGAGUAAUGUAUAGGGAUCUGCCUGACAGUGGGGGACAACAGCCGGAAACGGCUGCUAAUACCGCAUACGCUCUACGGAGGAAAGUGGGGGGACCUUCGGGCCUCACGCUGACAGAUGAACCUAUAUCAGAUUAGCUAGUUGGUGGGGGUAAAGGCCUACCAAGGCGACGAUCUGUAGCUGGUCUGAGAGGAUGAUCAGCCACACUGGGACUGAGACACGGCCCAGACUCCUACGGGAGGCAGCAGUGGGGAAUAUUGGACAAUGGGGGGCAACCCUGAUCCAGCAAUGCCGCGUGUGUGAAGAAGGCCUUCGGGUUG